RNAcentral lists this ribosomal RNA (253 nucleotides) under uncultured bacterium. RNAcentral describes it as "partial 16S ribosomal RNA". It matches the Rfam family "Bacterial small subunit ribosomal RNA", at positions 524 to 776 of the family's 1533-position model. The record is from RNAcentral.
UACGUAGGGUGCGAGCGUUGUCCGGAAUUAUUGGGCGUAAAGGGCUCGUAGGCGGUUUGUCGCGUCGGGAGUGAAAUCCACUGGCUUAACUGGUGGCUUGCUUUCGAUACGGGCAGACUGGAGGUAUGCAGGGGAGAACGGAAUUCCUGGUGUAGCGGUGAAAUGCGCAGAUAUCAGGAGGAACACCGGUGGCGAAGGCGGCGCUCUGGACCGAGACUGACGCUGAGGCGCGAAAGCGUGGGGAGCAAACAGG